Papaver somniferum (opium poppy) is the source of this 2850-nucleotide RNA transcript. RefSeq lists it as uncharacterized. NCBI's taxonomy places the organism in Eukaryota, Viridiplantae, Streptophyta, Magnoliopsida, Ranunculales, Papaveraceae. The transcript has 3 exons. The record is from RefSeq and is a predicted model, not a curated record.
UUGUGUUCACCUAGAAAUUUUUUAUAGUACUUCUUCUUUCGUGUCGUUCGAACCCCAGAAUACUCUCAUCUCUUUUCCUCAGAAACCCAAAUUCAAAUUAGAGAUGGAGGAAUUCAAUGAGUUUGAUUAUUCACUUAGAUGAUUUGCAUGAAGCAUUCGUUUGCUGUGGCUGCUCAUCCAUAUUGUAUUCUCUUUUACUCCCAUCACGGGCUGGGUAAGAUGGAGUUUAAUAUUACUGAAGAUUGUGAUAACAAGACUGUUUGAUAGAUUAUUUGAGCCAGGUGAUUUCCAGUCACUUUAUUUUCAUCUUAAUCAAGUUUAUAACCUUAAAUGUUUGAUGAAAUGCCUAAUAGAGAUUGAAGAGCUUAUCAUUAACAGCUUCAAAGCCAACGUCACUCUGAAGGCUGCUGACAGCUUCAAGAGCUCUAGGGAAUGAGGUUCCAAACUGUCAAACAACCUUAAGGUGAACUAUUCAGAUAGCCAUUUACAUGUAAGCGUGUUGGUCAUUCUGCAGUCAAGUGUUUCUUUAGAUACACUACUCCAAAAUCGAGUGACAAGUCUUUGUAGCAAGCUUUUUCUGGCCUACACAUUUUUGAUGCAGGGUUAUGAAAUCAAGGAUCUCAAGACUGACAAGCUUCUUGCUAGGGGUUCCUAGCUCUGUGAUACCCAAUACUUCUCAUACUUCUUUUUCAUCGGCACAAAAGAUCAGGGCAUCUUUCUCAUGCUAUUCUUCACAAGCUUCAGUUCAAAGAAUUAAUUCAGUUAUCAUCUUCUUCUUCUCAGGAUGGAUUGUGCCACUCAUAUCAGUUAGGUAAGCACAAACGUGUUACCUUUCUCAAUUUCAAAUAGAACUACUUCUGCACCUCUGCAAUUGGUUCACUGUGAUGCACGGGGACCUACUUCUACUUUUCAUCUGACUGUAGCUGCUACAUUCUCUUUAUUGAUGAUUUUAGUAGGUAUAAUUGGUUAUAUCUAGGAAGCUUAAAGCAGAUGCUUUAAAUUGUUUCGAACAUUUAAAGCAACAACUGAAAAUUUGUUUAGCUGCACAAUUGAGAUUGUUUCAGUCAGAUGGUGCUUUUGAACUAGUUUAAGUGAAAUUUAGAGAGUUCAUAGAUGAAUGUGGCAUAGUCAUUUCAUGCUCUUGCCCAUAUACUCAGCAACAAAAUGGCCUAGCUGAGAAGAUUCGUAGGCAUGUGACUGAAGUAGGUAAUACAAUUUUUUUCUUUUCAAACAUCUUUACCUAAAUCCUUAUGGAUAUAAUCAUUCCUCACUGCAGCAUAUAUCUCAUUAAUAGAACUCCUAAAUUACUUGGUUAUGAAUCACCUUUUGAGAUUUGUUUAACAAGCAACCAGAUUAUUCCUUUUUAAAGCCUAUGUAUGUGCUUGUUACCGAAAGUUAGUUCCUUGCAGAAAGGAUACUUUGUGUGUGUUUUUAGAAUAUAGUUUGUGGCAUAAAUACAGGUGCUUUGAUUUGGUUACCAAGAAGUUCUACGUCUCUAUACAUGUGGCCUUUGAUGAGAAUCUUUUUCCUUUUGCAACUGCAGUCUCAAUUGAUUCAGCUAUACUUUCUGUUCCAGAAUUCUUUUUACCUGCUACUUUACAAUCUCUAUCUAAUAUGCCAGAAGUACUCCUAUUCCUCAAGUAGCCAAUUUACCUUCACUUCCAGACAUUGUUAAUCUACUCACCACCGUUGUUACUAGGUCUAGAUAUGGUACUAGAAAAGCUAAGGCCUUACCUACAAUUUUUGUUCCUCAUUUUGCUUCUAGAUAUCAUAUUCCACUGCCUUCACUUAUAUUUUGCCGACCCCUGUUGAGCUAAAAACAGAUAAAACUGUUUCUAAGGAUCUUAGAUGGGUAGAGGCUACGUCAAAAGAAUUUCAGGAUCUACAGACCAAUCAGAAAUGGAUGUUGGCUCCAUAUUCUUCUUCUAUAAAUGUACUUGGAUGUAAGUGGGUGUAUAAGAGGAAGAACUUAAAGCUGAUGGGAUAGUUGAUAGGUUUAAGGCCAGGUCAGUGGCUAAAGGAUUCAAUCAGGAGGAAGGUGUAGAUUGUAGCGAAACUCUCUUGGUGGUAAAACUUUGUAUUUUUCUGGUGUCGGUUGAAUUUAUGCCUGCUCCUAGGGCAAGUCGUAUGGUUUUAGUUUACAAAAGUCUGAGGUUUCCUUACGGUUGAAUUGGUUGUGGAAUCAAACUGGCUGCUGGUGAUUUUUCUUUAUCUGGAUGACUGGAUUUUCUAAUUUAGUCUGAGCUGGAUGCCCUGACACCAGAAAAUCCACUGCUGGGUAUUGUGUAUUUUUGGGUCAUUCCUUGGUAGCUUGGAGCUCUAAAAGGUUGCCUACUGUUGCUAAAUCUUCCUCAGAAGCGGAGUAUAAGGCCUUAGCUUUGCUUGCUUCAGAAGUUCUAUGGAUGUCCUACUUAUAAGAUGAGUUGAACAUCAGUUAUUCAAUUCAUUUUCAGCUGUUCGUGAUAACAUCAGUGCAAAAUGUCUAGCUGAAAAUCCAGUUUUUCAUGCAAGUUCCAAACAUACUGAGUUGGAUUAUCACUAUGUCGGAAAUUUAGUGACUGCUGGUUAUGUUGAUAUCUUUACUAAAGGACUUACUUCACCAGUUCUGUGUGGUCAUCAGUCCAAGUACUUGUGCUUAGCUUGAGGGGGAGUAUUAUUAACUGAAGAAUUCUCUUCUUUUGUAUUGUUUUAAUUCUGUCCAUUCAAUUGUGUUUUUGCUCAGUUUGUUAAGAAGAGUCUGAUUCAACCAGGUGACAAGUCUGUUGAAGCUUGUUAUAAUGGUCAUCUGUUCUCUUGUCCUCUGUUUGUGACUUCCGUCUCCGUCUCCUGUAUUUUCUUAUCCAAUAUCAU